CGCCAAUCCUGUUGGUGCAAAAAUCCACUUGCGUCGGAGAAGCUGGAGUCGAGGGAGUCGCGGUCGCCAUCGGGACCUGCAAAAGAAGUCUAAACCGGAGGUGGGGUUGCUCCGGCAAGAUCCUCCGAUGCUGAAGUCAGUUCUCUGCCUCAACAAGAAUGGAGUGCUCGAACGAAAAUUUUAGCAGAGUUUCUAGGUAAAAAUG
Molecule: long non-coding RNA, 205 nt
Filed under: Elaeis guineensis (African oil palm)
Lineage: Eukaryota; Viridiplantae; Streptophyta; Magnoliopsida; Arecales; Arecaceae
Description: long non-coding RNA (EGUI_LNC081824)
Source: RNAcentral